RNAcentral lists this ribosomal RNA (379 nucleotides) under uncultured eukaryote. RNAcentral describes it as "partial 18S ribosomal RNA". It matches the Rfam family "Eukaryotic small subunit ribosomal RNA", at positions 592 to 976 of the family's 1831-position model. The record is from RNAcentral.
CAAUAGCGUAUAUUAAAGUUGUUGCGGUAAAAAAGCUCGUAGUUGGAUUUCUGUUGAGAGCGACCGGUCCAUACCAUGUAUGCGUAUCUGGCUUGCUCUCGGCAUCCUCUCGAUAGACGUUACUGCGCUUGAUUGCGUGGUGCGGAUCUCGGGACUUUUACUUUGAGGAAAUUAGAGUGUUCACGGCAGGCUUUCGCCAGAAUACAUUAGCAUGGAAUAAUACUAUAGGAUCUUGGUUCUAUUUUGUUGGUUUCUAGAAUUGAGAUAGUGAUUAAUAGGGACAAUUGGGGGCAUUCGUAUCAACACGUCAGAGGUGGAAUUCUUGGAUUGUGUUGCGACGAACUACUGCGAAAGCAUUUGCCAAGGAUGUUUUCAUUGA